This 395-nucleotide transfer-messenger RNA is filed under the name Novosphingobium chloroacetimidivorans. It matches the Rfam family "Alphaproteobacteria transfer-messenger RNA". From Rfam's summary of the family: Bacterial tmRNA, also known as 10Sa RNA or SsrA, is named for its dual tRNA and mRNA-like properties. Its role is to liberate the mRNA from a stalled ribosome. Lineage: Bacteria; Pseudomonadati; Pseudomonadota; Alphaproteobacteria; Sphingomonadales; Sphingomonadaceae. The record is from RNAcentral.
AGGCUUCACAAUCCGCUGAGGCCGCCCUAUAUCGCUCUUUGCCGGUUUCGACCGGCUAUGGUGAUAAAUUGCGGCGUGCAAUAGGCACAGCGGACCCGGGGGCGGUACCCGGCGGCUCCACCACUCCUCUCGUUUCGGCUUCGGUCGAGCGGGAGAAAUGACGGGGCCGAACUAGGAUCGACGUGUGUUCAAAAGCGCUGUUUUUGCCCGGGCUGAGUAACCCGUUCAAGGCUCAAAACCCAAUAAGUGCCAACGAUAACGAAGCACUUGCUCUCGCGGCGUAAUUCUAGGGGCUAACGCCCUGAAGUUACAAAGUUAGAACACGGUCGGGCCCACCGGGUAACAGAAGGGAUUCCAGCGGUACGGAGCGCACCGGGCAACAGAAGCGCUCCACC